CAGAGCCGGGACCGAGCGAGCCGGUGAGCGACCGAGGUAAAGGUAUCGCGCUUUAGUCAGAGGCCACCAAAGUUGGGUUUCAUUUUGUAGUAAAGUACCCUAUGAUCAUCUUUUGUACAUGAUGAUAAAUGAUGCAAAGAAAAGAAUGUAAAAUUUUAUUAUGAGCAAAUGUGAAAGAAAUGAUGAAAUGAUGCAAUGAAAUAUAAGGAAUUGUAAAUGUACAAGUUGGAUGUAAUGUAUAUGAUCUAAAUUGAAU
RNAcentral lists this long non-coding RNA (256 nucleotides) under Ananas comosus (pineapple). RNAcentral describes it as "long non-coding RNA (ACOM_LNC035614)". The record is from RNAcentral. Lineage: Eukaryota; Viridiplantae; Streptophyta; Magnoliopsida; Poales; Bromeliaceae.